Molecule: long non-coding RNA, 1462 nt
Filed under: Anas platyrhynchos platyrhynchos (common mallard)
Lineage: Eukaryota; Metazoa; Chordata; Aves; Anseriformes; Anatidae
Description: lncRNA (ENSAPLG00000019019.1)
Source: RNAcentral
GUUAGCAGCUUAGCUUCCUAUCCAGCUAGACUGACAUUCUUACUGUUUCACUUCUCCCCUACAUUCCUUCCAUCACAUGGUAAUUUUCAGUGCAUGCAUGCACACAUCUGACCUGGAUAAGCCAGCUUUGAAAUGGCUGCAAAGAAUUUGUUGCAUUCUAGUCCUUCUGCUGUGGCUGCAGGCAAUCAGCAUUCAGGGGAGCCACGUCCACUUCUGCCAGAAAGCCUCCAAAGUGGUUGGGCACCUGACAGCUGAAUUCCUAGAAAAGAGAAGAAUUAACAGCAUAACUCUGCAAAGACAUGAUGGGAGAAAGAAAAACAAGAGGCCCAUUCCAAGCUGCUGUUUUUCUGUCCAGGAAGAACCUGAUCUGAACAAAGCACCACUUAGCAAACUUCCCUUCUUGAAGUAUAAAGUGCUGACUUCUUGCAUGGUGCACUUUGUGGUCUCCCAUAAUUUCCUUGAGCCUUGCUGGGGAUGAUGCAACCCUCAUAUCUGAUGCCAAGAUAGAAAUACGUCAGGACUACUUCAUUACAGCUGCUGAGAAUACCAAAAUGAGGCUCACACUAGUUACAGCUGUUAUUCUCACUUGAUAAACUUUGUAAGUGAUGUAUGUAUGCUAUGAAUACACAUAGUGUGUAUGAUGUGUGAUAUAAAUUACUGAAACUUGUUUUUUUUUUUUUUGGUAGCAAAGUGUUAGGAGAGACAGAAAUGAAAUUUAUGAACAUAUAUUUUUUAAGUUCAGUAAAAAUGUGUUGUACUAUUCUCUCUUCCCCACCUUUCACCACAUUUGAACAGCCAAAGGAAUAGAGCACAUGGUGGAUCUACUGUAGAGAGCAAAUCAUAGAUAUACAAAUUUAAGUUUGUGAACAAAACAUAAACAUAUGUUUGGAAUGGUCUACUCAGUUCCAAAACAAGCACAACAUAAGAUACUCAUAUUCUUGUGUCUGAACAGAAGGAAUUAGAAAAAAAAAAAGGGGGGGAGGGGGAGGAAGUACUGAAUUUUAUUUUAUUUUAUUUUAUUUUAUUUUAUUUUAUUUUAUUUUAUUUUAUUUUAUUUUAUUUUAUUAUUUAUUUUAUUUUAUUUUUGAUACAAGAGGAAAAACCUAGGAGCCUGUGUUGUCCUUGGUUCCCAACCUGUAACUUUGUUCUGAAACCAAGACCUCACAUUGUCCUUUUGAAAACAUCCAUUAAACUCUCUCAAGAACAGAACCUCUAUGAGGCUCAAGAACAAGGUAGUAAGAAUUGUGGAAAACCACAGAUUUAACCACAGCCUACUUCACACACACACUUGGGAGAACUGGUAUAGCUUUUAUCCUUGUGGGUACUUUCUAUGGUGUGACAUAUCAACAUAUUGACCAAUGUCUAAUGAGAUGUUUUAAAUGGAAAAGUAAGUUAUCAUAUCACCACAUUUCCUGUCAUCUUAGUUACACUCUGGACUUACUGUCACACUGUUGGCUUGCUG